GACGAACGCUGGCGGCGUGCCUAAUACAUGCAAGUCGAACGCAGUGGGGACGGGUGAGUAACACGUGGGUAACCUCCCCUCAGAGGGGAUAACACUUGGAAACAGGUGCUAAACAGAUACUGCUGGAUGGACCCGCGGUGCAUUAGCUAGUUGGUGAGGUAACGGCGCACCAAGGCCACGAUGCAUAGCCGAACUGAGAGGGUGAUCGGCAACACUGGGAGUGAGACACGGCCCAGAAUCCUACGGGAGGCAGCAGGAGGGAAUCUUCGGCAAUGGACGAAAGGCUGACCGAGCAACGCCGCGUGAGUGAAGAAGGUUUUCGGAUCGUAAAACUCUGUUGUUAGAGAAGCGUUAUCUAACCAGAAAGCCACGGCUAACUACGUGCCAGCAGCCGCGGUAAUAC
Molecule: ribosomal RNA, 403 nt
Filed under: uncultured bacterium
Lineage: Bacteria
Description: partial 16S ribosomal RNA
Rfam family: Bacterial small subunit ribosomal RNA
Source: RNAcentral